RNAcentral lists this ribosomal RNA (253 nucleotides) under uncultured bacterium. RNAcentral describes it as "partial 16S ribosomal RNA". It matches the Rfam family "Bacterial small subunit ribosomal RNA", at positions 524 to 776 of the family's 1533-position model. The record is from RNAcentral.
CACGGGGGGAGCAAGCGUUGUUCGGAUUCAUUGGGCGUAAAGAGCUCGUAGGUGGCUCUGUAAGUCGGAGGUGAAAGACCACGGCUCAACCGUGGAAACGCCUUCGAUACUGUGGAGCUUGAGGCUGGGAGAGGAAAUCGGAAUUCCUGGUGUAGCGGUGAAAUGCGUAGAUAUCAGGAGGAACACCGGUGGCGAAGGCGGAUUUCUGGACCAGUUCUGACACUGAGGAGCGAAAGCCGGGGGAGCAAACAGG